GUGCUCAGUUUAUCAGCACAUGUACUUCAACUGGAACAACACAGAGAUUAGCAUGGCUGCUGCACAAAGAUGACAUGCAGAUUCGUGAAACAUUCCAUAGUUUU
Molecule: small nuclear RNA, 104 nt
Organism: Lutra lutra (Eurasian river otter)
Lineage: Eukaryota; Metazoa; Chordata; Mammalia; Carnivora; Mustelidae
Source: RefSeq, a predicted model, not a curated record